Molecule: unclassified non-coding RNA, 549 nt
Filed under: Hevea brasiliensis (rubber tree)
Lineage: Eukaryota; Viridiplantae; Streptophyta; Magnoliopsida; Malpighiales; Euphorbiaceae
Source: RNAcentral
CGAAUUUCUGGCUUUCAUCUGGACGGCCAUCAGAUUCCUCACCUGUGCUAGGCCUAGACCUCUUUCGAGAUCCAGAGCUCCCUGAAUCGUGAUCUUCAGUAAUAUUUGUCCUCCGAGAAUUCAAAUGCUUAGCUGGUUCUAAGCUUGAGCCUCCUUUCAUCUUAGUGGCCUCUUCUGCUUUUUCUACGCUUGAGCCUCCUUUUAAUUUGAGGGUUGUCUGCAUCUUAGUGGCUUCUUCUACAUCAGACGACAAAAAAGACACAAUUUCGUGCAAAUUUUCCACAGCCUCCUGCUUUUUCUGUUGGAUUAGUAAAAGGAACUCCAGUAAUAAUUCCUGCUCAUCUAUUUUUUCUCUAAGCUCUAUCGCUGCUUCACGUUCUUCCAAGUCAUGCCUUGGAGUUUUAAGGAACUCACUUUCUAGCAACUCACCCACUUUUGGCCGACUACUUGGGUCCGGGUGUAGUAACCAUAAGCAAAAUGAAGCUUCCUUAGGCCAUUUCAACAACAACUGUGGGGGUAGGACACGAUGUCUUAGACAUGACAUAUUUG